RNAcentral lists this ribosomal RNA (551 nucleotides) under uncultured Glomeromycotina. RNAcentral describes it as "SSU rRNA". It matches the Rfam family "Eukaryotic small subunit ribosomal RNA", at positions 548 to 1098 of the family's 1831-position model. RNAcentral also lists the same sequence under 2 other names. The record is from RNAcentral. Lineage: Eukaryota; Fungi; Glomeromycota.
UUGGAGGGCAAGUCUGGUGCCAGCAGCCGCGGUAAUUCCAGCUCCAAUAGCGUAUAUUAAAGUUGUUGCAGUUAAAAAGCUCGUAGUUGAACCUCGGGGUCUACCCAUUGGUCAGGCUUAAUUGUCUGCACUGGUGAGAUGGAUCUCUACCUUCUGAGGAACUUUCAUGCCAUUUAUUUGGUGUGAUGGGAAAUCAGGACUGUUACUUUGAAAAAAUUAGAGUGUUUAAAGCAGACUAUCGUCUGAAUACAUUAGCAUGGAAUAAUGAAAUAGGACGGACUGAUUCUAUUUCGUUGGUUUCUAGGAUCACCGUAAUGAUUAAUAGGGAUAGUUGGGGGCAUUAGUAUUCAAUUGUCAGAGGUGAAAUUCUUGGAUUUAUUGAAGACUAACUACUGCGAAAGCAUUUGCCAAGGAUGUUUUCAUUAAUCAAGAACGAAAGUUAGGGGAUCGAAGACGAUCAGAUACCGUCGUAGUCUUAACCAUAAACUAUGCCGACUAGGGAUCGGACGAAGUUAAUUUUAUAAUGACGCGUUCGGCGCCUUACGGGAAAC